This 404-nucleotide ribosomal RNA is filed under the name uncultured bacterium. RNAcentral's name for it is "bacterial SSU rRNA". It matches the Rfam family "Bacterial small subunit ribosomal RNA", at positions 430 to 826 of the family's 1533-position model. The record is from RNAcentral.
GCACUUUAAGCAGUGAAGAAGACUCCGUGGUUAAUACCCACGGACGAUGACAUUAGCUGCAGAAUAAGCACCGGCUAACUCUGUGCCAGCAGCCGCGGUAAUACAGAGGGUGCAAGCGUUAAUCGGAAUUACUGGGCGUAAAGGGAGCGUAGGUGGCUCGAUAAGUCAGAUGUGAAAUCCCCGGGCUCAACCUGGGAACUGCAUCUGAUACUGUUGAGCUAGAGUAUGUGAGAGGAAGGUAGAAUUCCAGGUGUAGCGGUGAAAUGCGUAGAGAUCUGGAGGAAUACCGAUGGCGAAGGCAGCCUUCUGGCAUAAUACUGACACUGAGGCUCGAAAGCGUGGGCAGCAAACAGGAUUAGAUACCCUGGUAGUCCACGCCGUAAACGAUGUCUACUAGUCGUUGG